AUUGUUAGAACAAAGAACGUUAAACAACUCAGGGAUGCAUUCCUUCAAGGAAAUAAAACCAAAACCAAAAUAAAACAGAUUGGCGUGUACACAGGGAGUCAAUAUGGCCUUGGCACCUGGGAAAGGAGUCUUAUUAUUGAAGGAGUGCCAGCAUUGGCAUUCCAGGAAAGGAAGCAUUUAAUCUUUAUUUUUCUUAGGGGCAUUCUUCUGGUCAGUGCUCCCUUUUCUUUUGUAAUUAAAGCAGAUGUGCAAUGUUUUGUUUGACAGGCCAUGAACAGGUUGUUUUAGUUAGCAUAAAAUUCAGGUUAACUCACAUAUAAACCGGAAUGACUUCCCCAUACCUGAAUAUGGGAAGAUUUCUUUGAUCAGUUCCCUGUCCCCUUCUUGUCCUCCACUUGUCCCCUAGAUGCCCGUGUGCCCAAGGCUCCAUCCUCGAUAUUCUUCUCUGAAUCCACACAGUCUCCCAAAUGAUCACAUCCACGCUUCUGAUUUCCAUGGUCACUGACUUCCAUGUGCUCUGAUGACCCUUGAAUCUUCCUUUCAAUGCGGUCAUUUCAUCUGAACUCCAGACCCAUUUAUUUGUCCAUCAGAAUCAAUAUGUCCAAGUUCAAACGCUUCCCUUUUCCCCCUUGAUUCUCUUAUAUUAAGUGAAUGACCCAGUCUUUAAUUCAGAUACCAAGUCAAAACACCUGGGAAUGAUCCCUGAUCCGUUCUUCAUCAUCUGCCACCUUCCACCAGAAAGUCUCAUCUGUGUGGCUCUUACAGGAGAGGCAUGAGUGGAAGGCAGCCCUGCCUUAUUACCCUCCUUCUCAGGGGGAGUAUAGUUCUAUAAAGGUCAGGAACAGUAUGUAGAUAUGGCUAUGGAUAUAGAUACAGGCAUAUGAAAUCAGCUACAUACAUUGUGAAUUAUAUUUCUGAUUUUAUUUGGCAGUUUUUGGUAAACCAAACUGACUGAAUUUGAAGGAAUUGGGAAUUUUCUGAAGAAAGGGGCUUAAUCCACAUUCACUAUUUAUUUGAGAAGAUUUUCAACAAGGAGUUCCCACUGAAGAAUCCAAUCGCAGCAGCUCCAGUUCACUGCAGAAGCACAGGUUCCAUCCCCAGUAAGUUAAAGGAUCUUGGAUUCAAUCCCUGGCCCAGAAACUUCCAUAUGGGAUGGGUGCAGCCAUUAAAAAAAAAAAUUAAAAAAAAAAAGAUUUCAAACAUACAGACAGGAACUCACCCUUGCAUGUCUACCACCUCAUCAGUCUAGUUUUUGUAGAAACGACAAC
Molecule: long non-coding RNA, 1268 nt
Filed under: Sus scrofa (pig)
Lineage: Eukaryota; Metazoa; Chordata; Mammalia; Artiodactyla; Suidae
Description: lncRNA (ENSSSCG00040003609.1)
Source: RNAcentral